This 27-nucleotide non-coding RNA is filed under the name Bombyx mori (domestic silkworm). The record is from RNAcentral. Lineage: Eukaryota; Metazoa; Arthropoda; Insecta; Lepidoptera; Bombycidae.
UCUUGAUGCUGAUUGAGGUUGUUGGUC